UACGAAGGGGGCUAGCGUUGCUCGGAAUCACUGGGCGUAAAGGGUGCGUAGGCGGGUCUUUAAGUCAGGGGUGAAAUCCUGGAGCUCAACUCCAGAACUGCCUUUGAUACUGAGGAUCUUGAGUUCGGGAGAGGUGAGUGGAACUGCGAGUGUAGAGGUGAAAUUCGUAGAUAUUCGCAAGAACACCAGUGGCGAAGGGCGGCUCACUG
This 209-nucleotide ribosomal RNA is filed under the name uncultured bacterium. RNAcentral's name for it is "partial 16S ribosomal RNA". It matches the Rfam family "Bacterial small subunit ribosomal RNA", at positions 524 to 731 of the family's 1533-position model. The record is from RNAcentral.